Long non-coding RNA from Epinephelus moara (kelp grouper), 597 nucleotides. RefSeq lists it as uncharacterized. The record is from RefSeq and is a predicted model, not a curated record. The transcript is spliced from 4 exons. Lineage: Eukaryota; Metazoa; Chordata; Actinopteri; Perciformes; Serranidae.
CCGUCAUUGACUAGAACUCUGUUAAAGCGGAUGAAGCCAAAGUCUCCAGAGAAGGGCAGCUGUGUGAGGCCGGCAGAGAAGGAGAAAGGAUCUGCAAAGGCUCCGCUGUCGGCUGAGACUGUAACGGAAAACAACCAUAGUUUCUAAGAUUGAGAGAGAUGGAUUUUACCUGGUGUUUCAACUGGAGUGUGAUACAUCAGGUUCCAGGGCACCUUUGCUGCCACAGGAACUACAAGGUCCCUAUCGCACCAUUGUUUCGGACGAUGGUUUAAGAAAGGGAGGCACGGGUGAUGGGGCCUCAGUCAUGACAUCACAGCUGAGGGUAGUCGAAGCAUCUGGUCCUGGGUGUGGAGCCCUGCUUCUCCCCUCUCCAUCAAGACUGGUUCCAGCAGUGAGUCAGGGCCCUUAAUGAGGACCAGACUCCACACAUCAGGCUGAGGUCACCCUACGGGAAUCUCUGGAGGUCUGUGCGGAGGUUGCUGGUUAACCCUGUCAAAGCGGACUGGAGAUCCUGGACUGUCUGAGACAAGCGCUGAACUUCACCUUCGAGAAGGUGCACCUUAUCUGUCCCGCCAUGCCUCGUCUCAUGGUGUCCUG